Nycticebus coucang (slow loris) is the source of this 401-nucleotide non-coding RNA. The record is from the annotation of a RefSeq genome assembly. Lineage: Eukaryota; Metazoa; Chordata; Mammalia; Primates; Lorisidae.
CCGUUGAAGAAGACAGUAUUUUCCCUGUAAAGGAAGAAACAGAUAUGUUGCUCUGCAGCCUGCUGAAGGUGGUCACGGCUUCGAUGUGGCUAGGAUAUGGUAUUGCCCAGAAGGUAACUCAAGUCCAACCGGCAAUGUUGGUGCAGGAGAAGGAGGCUGUGACUCUGGGAUGCACUUAUGACACCAGUGAUAGUGAUUACUAUCUAUUCUGGUACAAACAACCCAGUAGUAGGGAGUUAAUUCUUAUUAUUCGCCAAGGCGCCUAUAGCCAGAAAAAUGAAACAGAAGGUCGCUACUCACUGAAUUUCCAGAAGGCCAGCAAAUCCAUCACCCUUGUCAUCUCAGCUUCAGAACUGGGGGACUCAGCGAUAUAUUUCUGUGCACUGAGUGGCCCACAGUGA